RNAcentral lists this ribosomal RNA (484 nucleotides) under uncultured bacterium. RNAcentral's name for it is "partial 16S ribosomal RNA". It matches the Rfam family "Bacterial small subunit ribosomal RNA", at positions 30 to 507 of the family's 1533-position model. The record is from RNAcentral.
AUUGAACGCUGGCGGCAGGCCUAACACAUGCAAGUCGAGCGGAUGAAGGGAGCUUGCUCCUGGAUUCAGCGGCGGACGGGUGAGUAAUGCCUAGGAAUCUGCCUGGUAGUGGGGGAUAACGUCCGGAAAGGGGCGCUAAUACCGCAUACGUCCUGAGGGAGAAAGCGGGGGAUCUUCGGACCUCACGCUAUCAGAUGAGCCUAGGUCGGAUUAGCUAGUUGGUGGGGUAAAGGCCUACCAAGGCGACGAUCCGUAACUGGUCUGAGAGGAUGAUCAGUCACACUGGAACUGAGACACGGUCCAGACUCCUACGGGAGGCAGCAGUGGGGAAUAUUGGACAAUGGGCGAAAGCCUGAUCCAGCCAUGCCGCGUGUGUGAAGAAGGUCUUCGGAUUGUAAAGCACUUUAAGUUGGGAGGAAGGGCAGUAAGUUAAUACCUUGCUGUUUUGACGUUACCAGCAGAAUAAGCACCGGCUAACUUCGUG